UGACACAUUGGAUUUGUGGCAUCUAAAAGUCUGGAUCAAGAUGGCAACCCAUUGUGCCACGCAUGCUGAAUCCUGCUUUCAGUGAGGAAGAGAAGGAAUUUCAUGGCCCAUACCAACAUCAAUUGUAUGCACAAAUUUAAAGAGGCACAUUCCACAAGUGCGUGUGUAUUGCUGUGUGUGUGUGGGUGUGAGUGUGUGCGGACACACUUGCCCAUGCACGUGUGCACUUUGCCCUUGCUUUGAGAGCCUGAUGUGCAGUGAGAGAAUUUCAAUCCAGUUUUUUGACCUUUCUGAGAAGUGAAAGGAAAACUGGGAGGGGGAAGUGUACACACCUGCAGUUUAUUUCCUUUAAAGAGAUGCCUUUAAGACAAUAGGGAUGAGAUAGAAGAGGAAAACUGCCCAUUUCCUGGGGAUUUGUUCUCAAUGCAUUUAAUACCCAGCCUCAGAUGUUGACAGUGAACUGUCACUGCUGAAAUGAAGAACGGUAUUUCCAAGGGGUCAUGGAACAGUACUGAAGAGCGAACAACUGUCAAUCAGAUGGGACCCUCCUGAACUAGGUAGCACUCAAAGCUCAUUGUGUGCAACUGAGGUCAACCACCAACCAACCAAGUGCUCUGUCCUGUUCGCACAAAGCUUUCCCUGAA
This is a long non-coding RNA of Numida meleagris (helmeted guineafowl), 644 nucleotides long. RefSeq lists it as uncharacterized. Lineage: Eukaryota; Metazoa; Chordata; Aves; Galliformes; Numididae. The record is from RefSeq and is a predicted model, not a curated record. The transcript has 3 exons.